UGUAUGUACACUUCAUGAAAGGUUUUGC
RNAcentral lists this small RNA (28 nucleotides) under Bombyx mori (domestic silkworm). Its description in RNAcentral is "ovarian small RNA-35498". The record is from RNAcentral. Lineage: Eukaryota; Metazoa; Arthropoda; Insecta; Lepidoptera; Bombycidae.